This 457-nucleotide unclassified non-coding RNA is filed under the name uncultured Bordetella sp. Its description in RNAcentral is "partial 16S-23S ribosomal RNA intergenic spacer". The record is from RNAcentral. Lineage: Bacteria; Pseudomonadati; Pseudomonadota; Betaproteobacteria; Burkholderiales; Alcaligenaceae.
ACUACAGGGGUAUCUAAUCCUGUUUGCUCCCCACGCUUUCGUGCAUGUGCGUCAGUGUUAUCCCAGGAGGCUGCCUUCGCCAUCGGUGUUCCUCCGCAUAUCUACGCCAUUUCCUGCUACACAUGGAAUUCCACCUCCCUCUGACACACUCCUAGCUCGGUAGUUAAAAAUGCAGUUCCAAAGUUAAGCUCUGGGAUUUCACAUCUUUCUUUCCGAACCGCCUGCGCACGCUUACGCCCCAGUAAUUCCGAUUAACGCUUACACCCUACGUAUUACCGCGGCUGCUGGCACGUAGUAGCCGGUGCUUAUUCUGCAGGUACCGUCAGUUGCACAGGUAUUAUCAUGCCGUUUCUGCUUUCCUGCCAAAGUGCUUCUAACCCGAGGCCUUCAUCCUUUUGCGCGGAUGGCUGGAUCAGGGUUUCCCAAUGUCCAAAAUUCCCCACUGCUGCCUCCCGUA